GGCCGACCGUUCUGGGUGGCCACCAACGUCAUCCGCACGUUCGGCAUCGCCCGGAUCGCCCACACGUGCUCUACCUGAAUGAGGUGCCUGGUGUCCGAGGGCUGGCGUUCAUAGUCGGGGUGGCUGCUACUCUAUUCAUGGCGGGCAGCACCAUCAUGUACGCCUGCUGAGGCCUUAGGCGGCGUCACCUGCGCCCCCUCCCCUCUCCCGUCACCAGCGGCCGCACAGGUCGUGACCUCUGCCCUGAUCGCGGGUCAUCUGAUCCCUGGGCGAUGGAAAACACCCUCCGACAAGAGCGUCCUUUACACGAUAUAACACAAUGCAUGGCGGGCAUCUCGCUGAAACCCGUUUCAAUGCACUAGCGGUGGUGGUGCAGCUUAGCUGUACCCUAAACAGGCUGGCCAACCCCGUCACGUAUGUAAACAUGGCUCAGCGUGUCACUAAAACGGACCAUCUCAGGGUGCUGUAUGCAAUAUAUCCGCCUUGUCUGCU
Pollicipes pollicipes is the source of this 492-nucleotide long non-coding RNA. RefSeq lists it as uncharacterized. Lineage: Eukaryota; Metazoa; Arthropoda; Thecostraca; Pollicipedomorpha; Pollicipedidae. The transcript has 2 exons. The record is from RefSeq and is a predicted model, not a curated record.